Molecule: long non-coding RNA, 1269 nt
Filed under: Homo sapiens (human)
Lineage: Eukaryota; Metazoa; Chordata; Mammalia; Primates; Hominidae
Description: HSALNT0164496
Source: RNAcentral
CCCCCGAGUUCCUGAGGCCCACUUGAGGGAGACUGGGGGCUCCUCUGGCCGCCCAGGCGAGGCCACUCUGACGCUGCCCACAUGCCUCCCAGAGCUCUCUGGACUCUGAAGAGAGCGCCCCUGGUUCUUUCCGGAGGUGAAUGGGAUGCUGGCAAGGGAGACUUCAGAAAAUAGGAAAGGUGGGCUGAGAAAUGGCUCCUAGAGAGUUUGAGCACGAAGUUUCCCUCCCAGGCGCCAUUUCUUUGAGAGGGGGAGGAGAACUAUGGCUUUGCAAAAGAACCAAGUUUCAGGCAUGGUGGCCUGGGUGGAAAACCACCUGUUGCCUGAAGUCUGUCCCUGGAGUCAGGGCCAUCUUGGGCCUGGGCAUGGCUAUGCCGGGUGCCAGGGAGGGGAGGCCCCAGGCUUCCUGCCCUGGUUGACUCCUGCAGCCUCAUGCCACUGACACUGCAGCGGCAUCUUCACCUUCCCAUUAGAAACCACUGUACAACUAGGUAGGUACUUUGUUAGGACAACUUAUCUUCGUCCUUAUCUCAGACAAAACAAGCAGCACACGCAGCCCUGUCUUCAAAUGCAGACCACAACACACACUUCAUUUUUUAAAGAUGGUCUGCUGCUUUGGGGUGUGAGCUCCCUCUCCUCCUGAGCUUCUUGGCAGCAAGGUGAGAAAGGAACUUAGACAAAGGGCACAGAGUUGGAUGAAAGGAUAGAGAAAGGUCGAGGGGGAGCAGAAGAAUUGUAAUACUACACUACAAACUGUCACCGGUUCCAUUAUAAACAGUUUUUAUAGGUGUUUUAUUACUUGGUUGUUAGUUUUUUAAAACACAAACCUCUUUAGAUUAAAUCUUGGCAUUCACAGGCUCAGCCCAGGGAAACAAAACACAGAGAAAACUCCAGCCAUCCGCUUGGCUACUUUUGAGUUACAUUACUGAUAAAACAAACAGCAGGUUGGGUUUCCUCAGACUCUGUCUCAGCCUCGUUUAUUUAGUAUCUUCAAUAGCUUGCUCAAGGCGAAUUUUUACAAACCAUUAGUUAGUUCAUAAUUCAGUGUAGUUCACUUAGGUGUUUCGAAGAGAAGGACACUUAUAAGGUGUGCUUUUUUAUAAUGCAGGUGCUGGGAUUUUUAUUCUCCAAGAAGUUACUAAAUAAACUUAAGAAUCCUGGCCCACUCUUUAUUUAGGCUUUCUGUUCUUUUUUUUUCUUAUGGUCUGCCCAGAUGCACUUUAUUUUGUAAAUUACAUUUGUGACCCUCAGACUGCAUUUUAUCUCAAG